AGAGCGAACGCUGGCGGCAGGCCUAACACAUGCAAGUCGAGCGCCCGUAGCAAUACGGGAGCGGCAGACGGGAGAGUAACACGUGGGAACGUGCCCUUCAGUUCGGAACAACCCAGGGAAACUUGGGCUAAUACCGGAUACGCCCUUACGGGGAAAGAUUUAUCGCUGAAGGAGCGGCCCGCGUCUGAUUAGCUAGUUGGUGGGGUAAUGGCCCACCAAGGCGACGAUCAGUAGCUGGUCUGAGAGGAUGAUCAGCCUCACUGGGACUGAGACACGGCCCAGACUCCUACGGGAGGCAGCAGUGGGGAAUAUUGGACAAUGGGCGCAAGCCUGAUCCAGCCAUGCCGCGUGGGUGAUGAAGGCCCUAGGGUUGUAAAGCCCUUUCGGCGGGGAAGAUAAUGACGGUACCGCAGAAGAACGCCCGGCUAACUUCGUGCCAGCAGCCGC
This 447-nucleotide ribosomal RNA is filed under the name uncultured bacterium. RNAcentral describes it as "SSU rRNA". It matches the Rfam family "Bacterial small subunit ribosomal RNA", at positions 26 to 518 of the family's 1533-position model. The record is from RNAcentral.